UACGUAGGGUGCAGGCGUUAAUCGGAAUUACUGGGCGUAAAGCGUGCGCAGGCGGUUGUGUAAGACAGAUGUGAAAUCCCCGGGCUCAACCUGGGAACUGCAUUUGUGACUGUAGAGCUGGAGUACGGCAGAGGGGGAUGGAAUUCCGCGUGUAGCAGUGAAAUGCGUAGAUAUGCGGAGGAACACCGAUGGCGAAGGCAAUCCCCUGGGCCUGUACUGACGCUCAUGCACGAAAGCGUGGGGAGCAAACAGG
RNAcentral lists this ribosomal RNA (253 nucleotides) under uncultured bacterium. Its description in RNAcentral is "partial 16S ribosomal RNA". It matches the Rfam family "Bacterial small subunit ribosomal RNA", at positions 524 to 776 of the family's 1533-position model. The record is from RNAcentral.